Cuculus canorus (common cuckoo) is the source of this 2245-nucleotide long non-coding RNA. RefSeq lists it as uncharacterized. The record is from RefSeq and is a predicted model, not a curated record. Lineage: Eukaryota; Metazoa; Chordata; Aves; Cuculiformes; Cuculidae. The transcript is spliced from 3 exons.
UAACUAUUAUAGCAAUGGCACACAAUUAUUAUGUGCUUGACAUUAGUGAGAUCGUGGAAGACACAGUCCUUGGCAGUUAUAAGAGGCUGUUUCUGUAUAGAAGAGCCCACAACCUAAACAAGUGAAGCAAGAGGGAAGAAGGAGCACUCAUAUCUUAAUUUUGCAGGUGGAAAACAAGAAGAGAACUUGUCAUUUGCUCAAGAUAACUUGUGAAGCCCAUGGCAGCAGCAGUAAUCCAGGUCUCUUCAGUCUCUGACGGGCUCUGCCCAUGUUCAGGCUGGACUCACAAGGCGCGAAACAACUUCUCCCCUCCAAAGAAGUGAUGCUGCCCUGAGUGUGACCCCUCCUGCCUGCUGGCUGACCACAUGCACCGGUGUCAUUCCAAUACCUGGAGCAGAAUCAGUGAAAAUAUUUCUAUGAGCCUGCCCAGCAAACUCAUGUUCAUGGGUUUUCUGUCUUUGUGAAUAAGAGAGGCUGUUCUUCAGAAAGAUAUUACAUAGCAAGGUGGGUGCACUAACAAUCCUUUUAAAGAAAAGAAAGGCAAUCUCAUUUUACUCAUACUUUCCAAACAUAGGUAGAGGCUCCUGUAAUUCAUGAUAAUCAAAAUGUGAUUAAAGUACAUCAUGUUUCUCUUAAAUUCUAUUUCUACUUCAAACAGUGGGUAAUAAUGCUAAAACAAACUUCUAUCCAAAGUUUUGUCUACUUAGAGAAGACAGAAGGAGAAAUUCAGUUUUAUUGUAUGGUGCAUAUAGAAGGAAACAAAAAGUCCUACCACAGUUAAAUGAAAUAAAGUAUAGGGUAUCUAUUGUAUCCUCUAAUUGUUAACACCUAAAACAAGUUACCAUUGGGAAACUAUGCACACAUGUAUUACUACAUAAACUUCAGUACAGGUUUGUUCUUUUUUCUUUUUAGGAAUAUUUCCUGCAGUGUAGUUCAAUAACAAUAAAAUAAGAGACAGUCUAAAUGUGUGUCUGACAUCAUAAGAACCUAAAGUUGCUAAAAGUAUUAUUUGUACUGAAGACAUUUCAUUCCUUAGUGUCAUUGGUAAUAAUGUAAUAAUAAAACCUUUGCAAAACAUGUCAUAGAAUACCUUUUCUGAUCCUUAAUCUGUGUAGCCUCACCUACCAGUUAUUCGUAGAAGCCUAGGAUUGAAAAAACAACCUAUUUAAUUAAUAUCUAGAGGUACAAAGGACUCCAUUUGUAUGAAUAAGAAUGCAUGUAUAAUAUUAGAAGAUUUAUACCAAACACUGAGGAUAUACUUAUCUUAAAAUAAUUUUUUCUUUCUGAAAGACAGAAAACCACACCUACAUUGGGUACACACACUAUCCAAAAUGUCAAGACAUGCAUGUUGCUUUCAAGUGAGAAGCCCGUUAGUCUCCUGGUGUAAACAAGCUCCACAGUUUCAGAUUUCUUUGUCAAAGACACCUCUGAGCACUGCUAGUUUAAUAUAGGAGCACUUUCCUAGAGGUCUGGAUACUCGGAAAGUCUCAUUCUGUUCAGUUAAGACGGAGAUUCAUAAAAUUUGUAUUGAGUGUUGGAAACUGAUAUUAAACUCUUUGACAGAGUAAAGAUCUGGUGGUAAUUGCAUUUUUUUUUCUAAUGUGCCCAUUUAUCCUUUUUUUCUUUACUGCUGUUAAACAAAAUUAAAUUUUUAUUCAUGCAAUUUACUUGUCAUUUUAUAGACUAGAUUGUUUGCAUAAAAUCAUUGUUUGCAAUCUACCUGACAUUUACAUGGUGCAUUUCUAACAAGUGUGUUGGGCAGUGACACAUACCCACAAACCUUCAUUUUUGCUGCACUCUUCUGACUUGGAAUACAAGACUUGUUCAUAAAAUGGAGUUUUAUAUUCUGAGGAAGUGGAAUGUGUUCUCUUUUUGCAUUAGAAAUGUUAAAAUUCCUUUUUUCAUCAUAAUCUGUAAUCUGACAUGCUUAUAAAUACCCUGUCACACCGUGCCUUGCACAUUCCUAAUCUUCUAUUGACAGUCAUAUUGCCUUCCAUUUACAUUGCUUCACUCAUGCCCAUUCAUACUUAAUCAGGCUUUGUGCUUGGUUGAUCACACUGAAUGAAAACCAUUCUCUGCCUCUCAGACUUUUAUAUUCAUAACCAUACUUAUUUCUUUAUUCAUAUUCUCUGCUUCACACAUCCAUUGUAUAUUAACUCUAGAUAUUUCCAGUCUGUCUAACCUUAAAAAUGUAAGACCUGAUUUAGGGGAAAAAUAAAGCAUCCAUGAAACUGACAUACUUAAA